Cinara cedri is the source of this 466-nucleotide non-coding RNA. Lineage: Eukaryota; Metazoa; Arthropoda; Insecta; Hemiptera; Aphididae. The record is from the annotation of a GenBank genome assembly.
GGUACAAACAGUAGGGCCAGUAGGAGUAGACAAUUUGAAAACAUCGUUAAAAUAAAGCUUAAACGAUUCCGCGAAACGGAAACAAAUAAACGGAAAUGAAAUUCGAUUAAAAUCCCAUUGUAGAAAAUCGUCGGUUCGUGAUGUAUGGUCACAGGUACAGACCACGCAGUACGAUCGAAAACGAAAACUGAGCAAAACUUGACCGUUCGCGAGCGGAUAUCGAAAUAUGACCAGUUUAUUCGCGAGCAACAAGUGUGUUAACAUAGUAUUUAUUUUACGACAAAGGUAGGCAGGUACCUAACAAUUUAUAUUCGAACCAUGGGUUUAAAUUUCCAUUGAAACGACGGGCGAGUCUUCGGCGAAACAACAAUGAUCGUUUUCCGAUAUUUCGCAGUCUACCUACCUACGCUCUCAUGUAGUAAUAGUAGUACGGUGAAAUUAAUAUUUGCUCAUACACGAGUAGUAU